Molecule: ribosomal RNA, 443 nt
Filed under: uncultured bacterium
Lineage: Bacteria
Description: partial 16S ribosomal RNA
Rfam family: Bacterial small subunit ribosomal RNA
Source: RNAcentral
CCUACGGGUGGCAGCAGUGGGGAAUAUUGGGCAAUGGAGGCAACUCUGACCCAGCAAUGCCGCGUGAGUGAUGAAGGUAAUUUUAUUGUAAAGCUCUUUUCUUUGGAACGAAUAAAUGACGGUACCAAAGGAAUAAGCCCCGGCUAACUACGUGCCAGCAGCCGCGGUAAUACGUAGGGGGCAAGCGUUGUUCGGAAUGACUGGGCGUAAAGGGUGUGUAGGGGGUUUGUUAAGUUAGAUGUGUAAUACCCAGGGCUUAACUCGGGUGCUGCAUCUAAAACUGUUAGACUUGAGUACCGGAGAGGUCAUCGGAAUGCCUGGUGUAGCGGUGAAAUGCGUAGAUAUAAGGAAGAACACCAGUGGCGAAGGCGGAUGACUGGACGGCAACUGACGGUGAGGCGCGAAAGCGUGGGGAGCAAACAGGAUUAGAUACCCCUGUAGUC